This 73-nucleotide transfer RNA is filed under the name Bos taurus (domestic cattle). It matches the Rfam family "tRNA". Rfam says of the family: Transfer RNA (tRNA) molecules are approximately 80 nucleotides in length. Their secondary structure includes four short double-helical elements and three loops (D, anti-codon, and T loops). The record is from Rfam by way of RNAcentral. RNAcentral also lists the same sequence under 2 other names. Lineage: Eukaryota; Metazoa; Chordata; Mammalia; Artiodactyla; Bovidae.
UCCCCAGCUGUCCAGUGGUUAAGACUCUGCACUUCCACUGCAGGGGGUGCAGGUUCCAUUCCUGGUUGGGGAA